UGGGGAAUAUUGCACAAUGGGCGCAAGCCUGAUGCAGCCAUGCCGCGUGUGUGAAGAAGGCCUUCGGGUUGUAAAGCACUUUCAGCGAGGAGGAAGGUGGUGAGCUUAAUACGCUCAUCAAUUGACGUUACUCGCAGAAGAAGCACCGGCUAACUCCGUGCCAGCAGCCGCGGUAAUACGGAGGGUGCAAGCGUUAAUCGGAAUUACUGGGCGUAAAGCGCACGCAGGCGGUUUGUUAAGUCAGAUGUGAAAUCCCCGGGCUCAACCUGGGAACUGCAUUUGAAACUGGCAAGCUAGAGUCUCGUAGAGGGGGGUAGAAUUCCAGGUGUAGCGGUGAAAUGCGUAGAGAUCUGGAGGAAUACCGGUGGCGAAGGCGGCCCCCUGGACGAAGACUGACGCUCAGGUGCGAAAAGCGUGGGGAGCAAAACAGGAUUAGAUACCCUGGUAGUCCACGCUGUAAAACGAUGUCGAUUUUGGAGGUUGUGCCCUUGAGGCGUGGCUUCCGGAGCUAACGCGUUAAAUCGACCGCCUGGGGAGUACGGCCGCAAGGUUAAAACUUAAAUGAAUUGGCGGGGUCAUAGCUGUUUCCU
Molecule: ribosomal RNA, 590 nt
Filed under: uncultured bacterium
Lineage: Bacteria
Description: partial 16S ribosomal RNA
Rfam family: Bacterial small subunit ribosomal RNA
Source: RNAcentral